CAGAGGUGGCAAGCGUUGUUCGGAAUUACUGGGCGUAAAGGGCGCGUAGGCGGCCGCCUAAGUCAGACGUGAAAUCCCCAGGCUUAACUUGGGAACUGCGUCUGAUACUGGGUGGCUUGAGUUCGGGAGAGGAAUGUGGAAUUCCAGGUGUAGCGGUGAAAUGCGUAGAUAUCUGGAGGAACACCGGUGGCGAAGGCGGCAUUCUGGACCGAAACUGACGCUGAGGCGCGAAAGCCAGGGGAGCAAACGGGAUUAGAUACCCCGGUAGUCCUGGCCCUAAACGAUGAGUGCUUGGUGUGGUGGGUAUCGAUCCCUGCCGUGCCGAAGCUAACGCAUUAAGCACUCCGCCUGGGGAGUACGGUCGCAAGGCUG
This 372-nucleotide ribosomal RNA is filed under the name uncultured organism. RNAcentral describes it as "bacterial SSU rRNA". It matches the Rfam family "Bacterial small subunit ribosomal RNA", at positions 526 to 896 of the family's 1533-position model. The record is from RNAcentral.